Onychomys torridus (southern grasshopper mouse) is the source of this 396-nucleotide long non-coding RNA. RefSeq lists it as uncharacterized. NCBI's taxonomy places the organism in Eukaryota, Metazoa, Chordata, Mammalia, Rodentia, Cricetidae. The record is from RefSeq and is a predicted model, not a curated record. The transcript has 3 exons.
ACUGGGAGAAUAAAACCCACCAGACUGGCAUACCUCCAGUAGUGAAGAGGAAGAAUGUUAAGAGGCCUCACGGGAGAGCUGGAGCCUCCCAGGUUUUUGGGAAGGAUGGAUUGCUGAUGCUUAAUCAAGGCCUGAGACCUUUCAGUGCACAGAUCCUGCUCAGAAAGGCUUCUUCAUAUCUACAAAGUUUCUGAGGUUUAUGAAGUUUGACCCUUAGACUCUGAUAUGAAUCCAGUGCCUCUGGGCUCCAGGCCGCCUCUCGGACCCUCUUUGGCAGCAAUACCUGUCCUUCCCAUGGACACACAGAAGAAGGAAGCAUCUGGCAACUGAUCAACAGCAGGUGAGAGAGACUAUUUUUUAGCUUUUAAAAGCCAAACAGUCCCUGGCAACACACAG